UUAUGGGUUAUGUUAGAGGUAGUAGUUUUAUUUGAGUGUGAAGGCAAAAGUGAGAAUUCAAGAAGCUAAGAAGUGAAUGGGAAAUACGAUUGACCUUUGAACAAUAUGGAGGUUUAGAGCACCAACCCCUCACGCAGUUGAAAACCCAUGUAUAAUUUUUGACUCCCCAAAAACUUAACUAGUAGUGGUUGAGGAAGUGGAAAGUGGUGUUACUUCCUUUAACUUUCAGGGGUAACCUUUGACUCUAGCUAUGAAAAGUUAAUCUCCCCUUAUACUUCACAGAGUCCUGUUGACUUAAUGUAAGUAUCAGAGUUCCCUGAAAAGUAUAAAUCACUAGGUGAGUAUAAGAGCAGCAGCCUUCCCAAGAAUGUAUUCAUUUUUGUUUUGCAUAGGUCAUUUAGAUUGUAUUCUUGUUAUUUAUAAUGGUCAGUCUUCCCCUUGGAUGAAACGUUCCAUUUUCUUUUAAGUUUUUUAUAAUGCUUCACUUAGUUGGGCAUCAAGAACACUUAAACUAAUUAGCAAUUUCUUAUAAUCUGACCCUUAGUAUUGCUGUUGGAGGGGGAAAAUGAAAAGGAGGAUUAUUUUUCAGAGAUUACCUGAAGCUGACUUUAUUUUCAGUAGCCCCAAUUAUAUUUUGCAAUGUUUUUUAAAAAUAUGAAAUACAGACCAACACUUAGAGCAGCGGUUCUCAAUCUGUGGGUCGUGACCCCUUUGGGGGUCAAACAACCCUUUCAGAGGGGUCGCCUAAGACCAUCGGAAAACACAUAUAUAAUUACAUAUUGUUUUUGUGAUUAAUCACUAUGCUUUAAUUAUGUUCAAUUUAUAACAAUGAAAUUGGGGGUCACCACAACAUGAGGAACUGUAUUAAAGGGUCGCGGCAUUAGGAAGGCUGAGAACCACUGACUUAGAGUGACCUCUCUUGAAAUGACUCCAGAAUUGAUGAAUAUGCUAUCCAUGAAAACCAAGUCACCGUCACACUCCGCACCUCGUUAAUGAGAUAGAGUUAAAUGCAUUAUGGGAGCUCCCUUUGGAUGCUGCUUUAUGUUGACUGAAGCUGACUGUUUUGUAUGCUCUUGAGAGAAUCUCCUCAGGGGACUGCAGUUUGCACUGCCCUCCCCCCACCAAAGCCUG
Long non-coding RNA from Myotis daubentonii (Daubenton's bat), 1131 nucleotides. RefSeq lists it as uncharacterized. NCBI's taxonomy places the organism in Eukaryota, Metazoa, Chordata, Mammalia, Chiroptera, Vespertilionidae. The transcript has 3 exons. The record is from RefSeq and is a predicted model, not a curated record.